RNAcentral lists this ribosomal RNA (255 nucleotides) under uncultured bacterium. RNAcentral describes it as "partial 16S ribosomal RNA". It matches the Rfam family "Bacterial small subunit ribosomal RNA", at positions 213 to 471 of the family's 1533-position model. The record is from RNAcentral.
UUGCGCUAUCAGAUGAGCCUAGGUCGGAUUAGCUAGUUGGUGAGGUAAUGGCUCACCAAGGCUACGAUCCGUAACUGGUCUGAGAGGAUGAUCAGUCACACUGGAACUGAGACACGGUCCAGACUCCUACGGGAGGCAGCAGUGGGGAAUAUUGGACAAUGGGCGAAAGCCUGAUCCAGACAGGCCGCGUGUGUGAAGAAGGUCUUCGGAUGUAAAUCAAUUGAGUGGGAGGAAGGGCAUUACCUAAUACGUUAG